CUUGGUCAUUUAGAGGAAGUAAAAGUCGUAACAAGGUUUCCGUAGGUGAACCUGCGGAAGGAUCAUUAAAGAACGCCCCGUUUUUUGAAAUGGGUAAUUCCCAAACCGUGUCUAUAUAUACCUUUGUUGCUUUGGCAGGUCGCCUUCUAGGCGUCGGCUCCGGCUGACUGCGCCUGCCAGAGGACCCAAACUCGUUUUGUUUAGUGUCGUCUGAGUACUAUAUAAUAGUUAAAACUUUCAACAACGGAUCUCUUGGUUCUGGCAUCGAUGAAGAACGCAGCGAAAUGCGAUAAGUAAUGUGAAUUGCAGAAUUCAGUGAAUCAUCGAAUCUUUGAACGCACAUUGCGCCCCUUGGUAUUCCGAGGGGCAUGCCUGUUCGAGCGUCAUUAUAACCACUCAAGCCUCGGCUUGGUAUUGGGGUUCGCGGUUUCGCGGCCCUUAAAAUCAGUGGCGGUGCCGUCUGGCUCUAAGCGUAGUAAUUCUCUCGCUAUAGGGUCCAGGUGGUUACUUGUCAGAAUCCCCCACUUUUAUAGGUUGACCUCGGAUCAGGUAGGGAUACCCGCUGAACUUAAGCAUAUCAAUAAGCGGAGGA
RNAcentral lists this ribosomal RNA (592 nucleotides) under uncultured sordariomyceta. RNAcentral's name for it is "eukaryotic LSU rRNA". The stretch from base 233 to 386 matches the Rfam family "5.8S ribosomal RNA". Lineage: Eukaryota; Fungi; Ascomycota. The record is from RNAcentral.